RNAcentral lists this long non-coding RNA (701 nucleotides) under Mus musculus (house mouse). RNAcentral's name for it is "pluripotency associated transcript 26". Lineage: Eukaryota; Metazoa; Chordata; Mammalia; Rodentia; Muridae. The record is from RNAcentral.
GACCUCACUUUGGAAACACUGACAGAGAGCUUUCAGAGAUGCAGUGACUCUGCCAGAUGCUUCAGUGUCUCCCAGGAGGCAGGUUUUGCAGUGCAUGGAGAGGAACCAGCUGGCAGAGAAAGCUCUUCUGCUAGAGAUAAAACAGAAUCCCAAUGGGAAAGAUCCCCGAAGCCCCACUUCCUGCAGCAGCCCAGAACUGAGCUGAGCAGAGCCAGGCAAGAGUAACUGUGACCGUGAUGAAGAGGAGGAGAGGCCACAAAAACACGAGGCCAGUGUGGAGCUGAACAGCCCUUGUGUCCUAGCUCCGACAGUAUCAUAGGGUGAAUGUGAGAGGGUGACCACCCUACAACCCAGGGAAAUGGGUUCUUGUUCUAGCCUGGUGUUGGAGAAUCACUCUCUGCAUCUGAUGUUUACAAAGAAGAUAAAUUCCUCUUCAGGCCUGACACCAGCCAUCCACCUCCAGCAGCAAGGGAACCAGGAAAUCUCAUGGCCAGCCUGGCCAGCAAGCGAGUGGAAUAUGCAAAGGAGAUGACUCACAGCAGACCAGCACGGUCGGCCAUGAAGCAGAGGCCAAAUUGCCAUCUGUUUCAUCAAGUUCGUUGGUGGUUGCCGUAUUUAUGUCUGUGAUUUAUGUCUAGGUGUCACCAUGAGCCUUGGCAGAUUUGGGAGACUAUUAAAUGUAUGAUUUGUCGAUAGCUAUC